Molecule: long non-coding RNA, 667 nt
Filed under: Apteryx rowi (Okarito brown kiwi)
Lineage: Eukaryota; Metazoa; Chordata; Aves; Apterygiformes; Apterygidae
Description: lncRNA (ENSARWG00000000153.1)
Source: RNAcentral
GAAAUAUUCAAGAAAAAUGUACUCGAUGCUUUCACAGUGUUUUCCAUGAUCAAAAGCGAAAUGUUCCAUGGAGAAUUCCAGUAUUAACUGCCAGCUUGUGUAGCAUCCCCUUGGUGGACCACUGGAAAAUUGGGACUUCUGAUGUGUACAACCUGCUGUGCAGAAACGCUCCAGGGCCUCGGAGUUCACUGGCCUCAGGGCAGUCCACCAGUCUGUCUGCUAUUGCGCUGCAGUGAAGGAGGGUGUUGCAGGACCCCAUGCAUUGGGGUUGUCGUUGUGGAUCACGCCUGGACAAGUGCUAGCAGUGCCACGAAGCAGAAGCAGCUGUACUGCACUGAAGAACCUCGUCUCCCAGAAGACUGGAUGUGUUAGCAGGCUGACUUUCUCCUUUUCAAGAAAAAAGCUCAGGUGUCAUCUCCCUGGAAUUCAUUACCUGGCUGCUGUAAUGUGUCUGUCUUCCAUCAGCAGUUGCAUUGAGAAUAUUGAUAAACAUUAAUCUUAUUUUUGGUACACGUAGCCACUGCAGGAAGGAUGCUUGCCUCAGCUGCAUAGUAACUGCUACAUCUCUGAAGUGUUUGCUGAACACCUCACUGGCUUGAGGAUGUGGCUGGAUUCGAUGUUCAGGGAUCUUGUGUAAUAAAUAUGAAAGUCCACUAAAUGUAAUGCA